CACUGGAGAGAGCUUGUCUUCCGAGCAUAGCCGUCUAUGAUUUGCUCGAUGAUGGUGUUUGCAUGGGGUCUACAACAUUUGAUGGGGCUCAUGUACCAUGCUAGGCUCAUUUAAUCACGACCAUCACACUGAUCAUGGACUCUUGUGCUUGGAAGAUGCAUGCGCUCUCUCCUGUUCAAGACAGGAUGGAGAGAAUCCCAAUCCAAUAAUUUUACCAGCUGGCCGAAACUUUUUGUGCCUAACCGCCAAUAAUUCUAUGAACCAAUUUUCAUUUGAUCAGCCAUGAACUACUGUAUGUUAUCAAGGUUGUUGAAAGAAAGAGCGAUUUACCUGUACGGUAGUUAUUCAAGUAUGGCACCAUUUAAGAGUCCAGCAUAAAAUCUUUGGUCGCUUCUUAAAAAGGCAA
Molecule: long non-coding RNA, 406 nt
Filed under: Elaeis guineensis (African oil palm)
Lineage: Eukaryota; Viridiplantae; Streptophyta; Magnoliopsida; Arecales; Arecaceae
Description: long non-coding RNA (EGUI_LNC006484)
Source: RNAcentral